RNAcentral lists this ribosomal RNA (209 nucleotides) under uncultured bacterium. RNAcentral's name for it is "partial 16S ribosomal RNA". It matches the Rfam family "Bacterial small subunit ribosomal RNA", at positions 1293 to 1500 of the family's 1533-position model. The record is from RNAcentral.
UCGGAUUGCAGGCUGCAACUCGCCUGCAUGAAGUCGGAAUUGCUAGUAAUCGCGGAUCAGCAUGCCGCGGUGAAUACGUUCCCGGGCCUUGUACACACCGCCCGUCACACCAUGGGAGCCGGUAAUACCCGAAGUCAGUACCGUCCAACCUCGUGAGGACGCUGCCGAAGGUAGGAUUGGCGACUGGGGUGAAGUCGUAACAAGGUACC